CAUAAUCAUAGAAUUUUCUUUUGAUACAAAUGUAGUCCGAUUGGGCUUUUGUUAAGCUAGCGGAAGGACUAAUCAUGCGUAUACAAUUAGGCUUGAGUAAUCACAAUUAUGUAUAGAAGCAUCUUUCUAACAAUUCACAAUUUACUUAAUCGUGGAGUCAGUCCACAAGAAGUAUCAUGAUUGAAAACUCUUUAUUGCAUACUAUUUAUGAAAGCAAUUCAUCCAACUGAUUUGUUCAAUGAUGUAACACCCCAAACCCGGCCCAGAAGUUAUGGCCGGAUCCUGCAUGCCACAUCAAAAACGUAAAAAAAAAUUCCAUUCUAAGUCCAGAAAAUCGUACUUGAUGUUCAAAAGAUUAAUUCAUUAAGGGUUAAAGUGAAUGGAAGCUGUGCACUAGGUAGGAAACUGGAAAAGAGGUGGUGAGUCCAUCGGACUGCUUAAGUACCAAGCUUCCUUCAGAUCCAAUCCUAGACAUGCAUACCGCCAUUGCCACACUUUAACGUCAUGGAUAUUUC
RNAcentral lists this long non-coding RNA (515 nucleotides) under Gossypium barbadense (sea-island cotton). Its description in RNAcentral is "long non-coding RNA (GBAR_LNC009764)". Lineage: Eukaryota; Viridiplantae; Streptophyta; Magnoliopsida; Malvales; Malvaceae. The record is from RNAcentral.